Cyprinus carpio (common carp) is the source of this 1027-nucleotide long non-coding RNA. RefSeq lists it as uncharacterized. The transcript has 3 exons. The record is from RefSeq and is a predicted model, not a curated record. Lineage: Eukaryota; Metazoa; Chordata; Actinopteri; Cypriniformes; Cyprinidae.
ACGUGUGUUUAUCCAGUGCUGAGUGACUGAUGAAGGAAUGCUGCCAUCAAAGGCUCUCAGGACCCCAAUCCCCCUGCAGCUACCUGGAGAAAAGACACUGGUUGUGACAACUGCGGAGAUCAAACCAGCAACCUUCUGCUUACCAAUCCAGUUCACUACACCACAAACGUAACGAAGGAAAGUUAUGGAUAAUGCAGUAAAUUAAUUAUUAAAUACAAUAAACAUGAUUUUAGUUAAACAUUUAUUUACUAAGUUGUAAAGAGUAUUAAUAAAAGACAGAACACAGUCACUGCUCUUUAGUGUACAUAAUUUCUCUUGGUGAGUGGCCAGUACUUUCUGUGGACAGUGACAAUUAUUUAUUAAUAUUUGACUGCUGAAUUUACCUACUAUAAUAAGAAAAUAAGUAAGAAUAUCAGAAUUCUAAAAUUAUUGUUGUAAUAACCAUAGUCGUAUUAUUAUUAUUAACAUGUCGCAUGUCGCUUGGCCAUUCCUAGGGUGUCAAGCCAGGUCCUGUCAAUAGAAUGGUGAUUCUGCAAGACAUAAAGAGAGGAAACUUGCUGAGGGAUUAAGACUACAUCCAAAAUAGUGUUUCCACAUCUGGGAUAAAGGCAGUCAUAAGACCCCAGCGGAACGAUGAGGAUAUGCUCUUCAAAAAAUGAAACCUGCCUGAAUAAUGAGGGAAGAAAUGUGCAUGAUUGCGUGAUUUGUAAAUAAAUAUUAUGGACAUUUAGUGUAACUCUCAGCCUGUUAUUUUAAGUUUAAAGAAAAGUAAAAUCAUUUAUUGUUGCAUUGCUGUUUGAGACAAUAAAUGUUUUUUGUACCUUAAUUCAUUAUAUUGCAGAUGUGUGCAAAUAAAACUUGUUUUGAAUAUUCUGGUUGCAUUUCAGUGUUACUGUACAGCAUUUUAUUAGUAUUGCACUUCGGUUGUAUUGAAUUGUACUUCAGUUUUAUAUUGCAGUACUGCAGUUUUAUUGCAGUAUAAUUGUAGUACUAGGCUACUUCAGCUAUAUUGCAGUAAUACUGUGGU